GAGAUGUUAGUAAAAUAAUUACAUAGUCUUGUCAAGACUAUAUUACCGGUGAAAACCCAGUACAUCUCA
RNAcentral lists this transfer RNA (69 nucleotides) under Periparus ater (Coal Tit). RNAcentral's name for it is "tRNA-Asp". Lineage: Eukaryota; Metazoa; Chordata; Aves; Passeriformes; Paridae. The record is from RNAcentral.